RNAcentral lists this antisense RNA (191 nucleotides) under insect gut metagenome. RNAcentral describes it as "Yersinia sRNA 251". It matches the Rfam family "Yersinia sRNA 251". Rfam says of the family: Antisense to phoH gene. Trimmed on 5'end from the original size. The record is from RNAcentral.
UACGCAUUCAACGUUCGCUGACACAAAGCCGAUCGUACGCAAUCGUCUUUUGUGAAGCGGACAAUACCCACCAUCUCAUCUUCCUCAAAACGUGCCAGCGCAUCGCUUAAUCCCGACGGAACGCCCGCCGGCAAAUCGCACUGCGUAAUAUCACCGUUAACGAUGACCGUCACGUUCUCCCCGAGGCGCGU